Morus notabilis is the source of this 1852-nucleotide RNA transcript. It is a transcript of the gene named cytochrome P450 CYP736A12, with no coding region annotated. The record is from RefSeq and is a predicted model, not a curated record. The transcript is spliced from 3 exons. Lineage: Eukaryota; Viridiplantae; Streptophyta; Magnoliopsida; Rosales; Moraceae.
CAACAUACAGCAGCUAAGAGUAUAUUUCAUCACUGCUCAGCUCAAUUUCCUCGCUUUUUUUUAAGAGCAAAAAAUGGCAUGGUUUUGGGCAAUAGCUGUACUAUUGAUUACAGUUUUUUAUGUCCUGCAAGGAAAGCUAUGGAAAAGCAAGGAAAAUACGAAGAAACUACCUCCUGGCCCGAAGGGCUUCCCUCUCUUUGGCAGCCUGCACUUGUUAGGGAAAUUCCCACAUCAUGAUUUGCAGAAGCUAGCCAAACAAUAUGGUCCAAUCAUGCAUAUGAGACUAGGCCUUAUUCCCACCGUUAUUGUUUCAUCCCCCGAAGCUGCGGAGCUGUUUCUCAAGACGCACGACCUUGUGUUUGCGACCAGACCGCCUCAUGAAGCUGCAAAGCACAUAUCUUGGGAGCAAAGGAACUUGUCGUUUGCGCCUUAUGGUUCCUACUGGCGUGACAUACGCAAGAUGUGCACUCUAGAACUGCUUAGCAGUCACAAAAUCAGCACUUUCAGUGAGAUGAGGAAGGAGGAAAUUGGGCUUUCGAUUAAGUCCAUUCGGGAGGCUGCUCUUGAUCAUGUUGCUGUUGAUCUUAGUGCCAGGAUUACGUGCUUGAACGCUGAUAUGACUUGUCGGAUGGUGUUCGGAAAGAAGUAUUCUGAUGAGGAAUUUGACGAGAGGGGUUUCAAGGCCGUUGUCCAAGAGGGAAUGCACUUGGCUGCAACUCCUAACUUGGGAGAUUACAUCCCUUUUAUCGCUCCACUUGACCUGCAGGGCUUCACUAAGCGCAUGAAGAAAGUUCGCAGGGUGUUCGAUGAGUUUUUUGAGAAGAUCAUCGAUGAGCAUAUCCAAUCCAAGGAUGAUGCUGGUAAGACCAAGGACUUUGUUGAUGUCAUGUUGAGCUUCAUGGGGUCUAAAGAGUCUGAAUACCGCAUUGAACGGACUAAUAUCAAAGCUAUAAUUCUGGACAUGGUUGCAGGCUCAAUGGACACUUCAUCAACAGCAACAGAAUGGGCAAUCUCAGAACUCAUUAAGAACCCAAGGGUACUAAAGAAAGUCCAAAAAGAGCUAGAAACCGUGGUGGGCAUGGAUAGAACGGUGGAAGAAUCGGACCUAGAAAGGUUAGAGUACUUAGACAUGGUAGUAAAGGAAACUCUGAGGCUGCAUCCAGUGGCACCAUUAUUGAUCCCUCAUGCAGCCAUGGAAGACUGCAUAGUCAACGGCUUUCACAUACCAAACAAGUCGAGAGUCAUGAUAAACGUAUAUGCGAUCGGGAGAGACCCCAACUCUUGGACUGAUCCAGAGAAGUUUUUCCCCGAAAGGUUUGUGGGGAGUAGUGUAGAUCUUAGGGGAAGAGACUUUCAGCUUAUCCCAUUUGGCUCUGGAAGAAGAGGUUGUCCUGGAAUGCAACUAGGCCUGACCGUGGUCAGGCUGCUUGUGGCGCAACUCGUACACUGCUUUGAUUGGGAACUCCCAAAUGGUAUGCUUCCCGCUGAACUGGACAUGGAAGAAGAGUUUGGUUUGACAACUCCGAGGGCCAACCAUCUUAUGGCCAUUCCCACUUGUCGCCUUCAGAAAUAUUAAUUCGUCGAAAAAUGCAAAAUAUCAUGAGUGAAUGAUGCUCACUUCUGGUUUUUUAACCAAUCAAAAGUUGUUCUCUUAGAAUGUAAACUCUUACUUUUGCGGAAAAAAAAGGAAGAAGAAGAACCAACCAAAGUGAAAGAAGGAAAAGUGUAGGAAUAGUUAGCUAAUAACCGGAUUUGAGGGUUGGCUAUCUGUGUCAUAGAAUUGAUUGUUGUCAAGAGAUAAAAGCACGUCCUAGAAUUCCUUGUUUAGAAACUCUAUUGUUGGUUAUAGAAA